Molecule: long non-coding RNA, 3189 nt
Filed under: Daphnia magna
Lineage: Eukaryota; Metazoa; Arthropoda; Branchiopoda; Diplostraca; Daphniidae
Description: uncharacterized LOC116919389
Source: RNAcentral
UUCAACUAGAAAAAAAAAAAAGGAGAAAAAUGCAAGACGUAAGUGAUUGGUUUUAGGUGAGGGAUGACGCAUAAAGUGGCAUUUUUAGAACGAGGGUAACACAACAAUACGAGAAAACAGAAAGAAGACGGAGAAACGUGAAAGAGAAUCAACAUCAAACAUAUAGCUGCUGACACGAUUAUCGUAGUGUUUCGUACGCUUUUCCUUGCGGUUCCAACCUCUUUGAAUUUUUUCACGCGCUAGGGAAAUUGAUGUGUCACGAUCAAGUUUUUGGUGAGUGUCGCUUCGUGACGGACCCGCCGUUCAUCAUUCUCUUUUACGCGUCUCUCUAUAAUUAAAGGUCGCUUCUGCUUCCGCCCUCCUCGACUUCAUUUUGCUGCUGGCCACCCAACUUGAAGAUGGCAAAAUGACGAUGUAGUAGAUGUAGCCGGCCUAUUGUUCCAUCGAAGUAACAGCCGUUUUGCUGAAUCACUGUAUCAGAUCGACUCUUUUUUUUCUUUUUAAAUUUUAAGUUGGUGGACCUCUAUCUUCUCAAAAGUGAUGAACAUCAUUCUCAUCUUCGUUCCUUCUUUUGUGCGAUCAAAAAUGCUGCGGUAGUGGCGUGACCGAGUGAGUUUGGACGCAACUACUGAACACAUCUGCGCGUUAACCUCGGCCCACGGCGUCGAUCACGAUUGAAAAAUGCAAAGUGUAUUUAAUUUUGACGACGUUUCGCUGCGUCACUUCCGCGAGUCCUUCGCCACCAAUUUGGCAUUUUCAAGAGACUUGUUCUCCAACUGUUGACACAUCAAAAAGAAAAAGUGUGUAAAUCUUUUUUUCCUUCGCUGAUGAUGUUCUGCUGUCCAUUGAUUUCUAGGUCACAUACGCCCAGUCCCUUUGGAACGGAGAAGGCCAAGCUUGGAACACGCAACCGUGGGGGGUCUUUUCUUUUUUUUUUUUUGUUAAUAUUUUGUUUUCCCAAUGAAUACUGAGGUCCACUGAUAUGCAACGAUUUCGCCGCUUUUCGGUCGGUACUUGUGUGAUGCAAGCAAAGCAGACUUUCUCUCGCCCUUUCACAUUACCUUCCUACAAUCAAAAAUGAUUGGAAGUUUGCACGACUUGUCGUUGAAAUCGAAUUCUCGUUGAAUAUCUGAGAACGAGAUAGUUGCCGUGUUUCAGCCAUCUUACAAUAUGGCCAAAUGAGUGGGGGUAAAAAAAAAAAGAAAAAGUGAGUUCGGUUCAUUAGCGGCACGAGGUCACUGAUUGAAAAGUAGAAACGCCGCGACGACAACGCUCGGACAUCAAUGGCUUGCGAGUUUUCUCCGGACCAGCCAGUUUUUUUUUCCCCUUCUUUCCGUGUUGAUUUGACGUGGAAGAAAAUUUGCUCAUACUUACUCGUUUUCAAAUUUGAAAAAUUACCCGAAUGUCACGAGAAAUCAUGAGAACUGGUUAGUGUUGAAGAAUUUAUGACUUUCCCAUCCUGAUUUCUCCUGAAAAAAAAAAAAAAAAAUCAUCACGAUGGCACGCGAUGCUUUUUUUCGUUUGAUUGUCCUUUUUUUUCUUCUCAGAACUCCCACCCUCCUUUCUCCCUCCUUUUACACAACUGACUAGUUUCAAAAGAAAACAAACGUUGUUGGAUGACACAAUAGAUUGCGUUAGUUUUUUUUUUUUUCUUCUUAAAUUAUUUGUUUUUUCCUUUUAACUCGACCUUCACCCAGUUCCAUUCUUCGUUGCAACUUCACCAGUUUCCAGUGUCACAGCGGUUUUGCGUUUCCGCUCCCAUCGACGCCAUUAGACCCAACCCUCGAAACCAGGUCUCUGUACACUUGGCUUCAUCUGGAGCAUAAAAGAAUAGUGGAACAAUGAAGAUGACCGUGGCCGUAAUGGCAACUUUCAAUUCCUGCCCUACCAUCAACUGACAUCAAAUCGUCGGUGAUGGUGCCCCCCUUUAUUUUGUUUUUUUUUGCAUCGAAGAUGAGGGAAUUGCCUCUACAAUUCAAUUGAUUCUAGCCGUCAUCGAUAGGUAAAUAUUUUAGCCAAAAAAAAAAAAUACCCUCGUUCCGGCGGCGGUGUGUUUCACUUCCCACGAUUUUCAAUGACACUUUCUUCUUUGCCUUGUCUUGCUCCCCUCCACCCAAGACCCUCUCGGCUGUUCCAAACUUUCCAAGCGAACGAAAUCGCUUUUUAUUUUCGGGCUGCUUUUCUAAUCGUUUCUAUUCUAUUCUAUUCUAUUCUAUUCUAUUCUAUUCUUGGUUGUUGUUUUUUUAAUUGUUUAUAUCCAUCGGCAAUGACAACAGAGAGUAGAGCUGGGAAAUAGUUAAUGCAUCCCAAGGUUUCUGGCUCGCGUGGCCCUUGACACGUGAGAUUUCGAGAGAAACACCCCGUAACAUCAACCAUAAGGGAAAUACUCAAAUGAAAAUCCGUACUGGAACAGAACGAAUGGAACCUACCGAAGACAUCCAAGCUGAAAUAACAGACUUGGUCUAGGCUAACAUGGACCCCACUCAAGGUCUACAUUCCACUUUCAAUUAUGGCCCUUUUUUUUUCAAUCAACGAUGACGGCUUCUUUGGUUGAAUCAGGUACGUUUACUUCUUCUUUCUUGUUAUUAUGUUUUUUUUUUUCUUCUUUUUCUUGAGAAGACAUAUUUUUUCUGAGAUAUCCUUUGACCGCAGGAUGAAGCCGAAAAAUCUUGACAAGUCAUUUGGCCUGGUAAUUGAACAGAGAUGGGUUCCAUUAUAAGUGGCCAACGUCCCUGACGAACUGCUGUCUACCCUGGUUUUCCCCCCUUCACCGAAAAAGCCAACAUGGAACGCCAGAUGCAGAUCCAGAGGGGAUUUCAUCAUUACUCAUAUCCUUUCGCAAGUUGUAGCCGUCACUGUGUCCAGCCAAAAAAAAACAACAACUUGCAUGUGGGCAUCAGCCACAUAUCGCAAAAUCCUACUCCGCACUGAUGACCACCGUGACGUGGUCACAUCGACCAGAAACCUAACGCGGAGAUGAACACGCUCAACUUUUCGUUUCUCUUUUCCCUUUCCCUUUUCCUGGAAGUUAACAAGAAAUGAAUAGAAGAGGAUUCGAAUGCCUGUUUUUUUCCUUUUCCGUACCGCCAAUUUUGAAUCUCAUCAUACACGUACGCACAUACUCACAUCACACAUAAUCCUGCGCGGCGUACAUUCUGCGCAACAAAAGGCGACACACACACACACGUA